CUACAGUUUGUAGUAAGUUUGUACCGCAGUUCCUGAUGCGCACGUGUCGUGAAGAGAGAGUAGCAGUGAAUUUGAGAUUAUUUUAAUAGUGUUUUGUUAGAAACAUACAAGUGACAAGUACCAAAUAUAGACAACAGUGUUUGUAUAGUAAGAGAUCAUUGAAACCUGUCAUGUAUCUGGAAAUCAUUGUGCAUAUAACAGACUUGGAGAUGGCAAUCUCUGUUUAAUCAAGACCCUUGACAUCAGCACUGUGGUCACACUUGGCCCACCAGCAGCCAUGACCAGGAAGAACGGCCUACCACCUAAGGCCAACGGGACCUUAACUAGAAAGAAGGACCCGCAGAAGAUUACCAGGUGAGUCAGGAGUCGCUGCUAGGUAGAGGGAGGUUGUGAUAAGAAUAACGGUGCGCCAAUCACGGAGAAGCGAUACAUACGGCCCGUAGCUGUUGGUCGCUACUGUUAUACAUGUAGUCAGUUUAUGCGCUGGUCUUCUGUUGCUUUGGGGGAAUAACAUUGUGAUGUGAUCGUAAUGAAUCUUUUUUCCCCAUUCCAAAUGCUGAUACUGCAAUGUGUUUAUUGCAGUAAGACUGGGGGAAGAAGUUGAAUGUACAAAAUUGUUGAAGAUGGGUGGGUAGUUGGGUGUGAAAUAUGGGGAUUAGUAAAAAAAAAAAAAAAAAAAAAAAAAAAAAAAAAAGAUUGGAUUAA
Penaeus vannamei (Pacific white shrimp) is the source of this 705-nucleotide non-coding RNA. Lineage: Eukaryota; Metazoa; Arthropoda; Malacostraca; Decapoda; Penaeidae. The record is from RefSeq and is a predicted model, not a curated record.